CCUACGGGAGGCUGCAGUGAGGAAUAUUGGUCAAUGGGCGCGAGCCUGAACCAGCCAAGUCGCGUGAGGGAGGACGGCCCUACGGGUUGUAAACCUCUUUUUCCGGGGAGCAACGGGCGUCACGUGUUGCGCCACUGAUAGUACCCGGAUAAAAAGCAUCGGCUAACUCCGUGCCAGCAGCCGCGGUCAUACGUAGGGGGCAAGCGUUAUCCGGGGUUACUGGGUGGAAAGGGAGCGUAGGCGGGUUAGCAAGUCAGAAGUGAAAGCCAGGGGCUCAAAUCCGGGACUGCUUUUGAAACUGUUGAACUAGAUUGCAGGAGAGGUAGGUGGAAUUCCUAGUGUAGCGGUGAAAUGCGUAGAUAUUAGGAGGAACACCAGUGGCGAAGGCGGCUUACUGGACUGUAAAUGACGCUGAGGCUCGAAAGCGUGGGGAGCAAACAGGAUUAGAUACCCUAGUAGUC
RNAcentral lists this ribosomal RNA (461 nucleotides) under uncultured bacterium. RNAcentral describes it as "partial 16S ribosomal RNA". It matches the Rfam family "Bacterial small subunit ribosomal RNA", at positions 338 to 795 of the family's 1533-position model. The record is from RNAcentral.